This 510-nucleotide ribosomal RNA is filed under the name uncultured Desulfobulbus sp. RNAcentral describes it as "bacterial SSU rRNA". It matches the Rfam family "Bacterial small subunit ribosomal RNA", at positions 903 to 1382 of the family's 1533-position model. Lineage: Bacteria; Pseudomonadati; Thermodesulfobacteriota; Desulfobulbia; Desulfobulbales; Desulfobulbaceae. The record is from RNAcentral.
CGCCUUGCCAGCCCGCUCAGAACUCAAAGGAAUUGACGGGGGCCCGCACAAGCGGUGGAGUAUGUGGUUUAAUUCGAUGCAACGCGAAGAACCUUACCUGGUCUUGACAUCCCGGAGACCCUUGGGAAACUAGGGGGUGCUUCCAUCUGGAAGAAUCUGGAGACAGGUGCUGCAUGGCUGUCGUCAGCUCGUGUCGUGAGAUGUUGGGUUAAGUCCCGCAACGAGCGCAACCCUUGCCUUUAGUUGCCAGCAGUUCGGCUGGGCACUCUAAAGGGACUGCCGGUGUUAAACCGGAGGAAGGUGGGGAUGACGUCAAGUCCUCAUGGCCUUUAUGACCAGGGCUACACACGUACUACAAUGGCCGAUACAAAGGGCAGCGACACUGCGAGGUGAAGCCAAUCCCGUAAAAUCGGUCUCAGUCCGGAUUGGAGUCUGCAACUCGACUCCAUGAAGUUGGAAUCGCUAGUAAUCGUGGAUCAGCAUGCCACGGUGAAUACGUUCCCGGGCCUU